CUCUCUCUCUCUCUAUAUAUGCACAAAAAUACAAAAACUGGUUACCCUGAAGAGAACCUCAAACAUAAUGUUUCACAGUCCCGCCCAAAUCCACUCUCCUUUAUGAACUCAUCAGUGUCUCUAGACGUAUUUGCGUGUAUACAACAUGCAACUAUCCCUCACGACUUCUGGAAGCUGAAUACCCGCCUCACCUCUGGUACUGGGUUCAACCGCACCCCGGGUAGUGCGUCUACUGAGAAAAGCAACCGGAUAAUUUGAAACAAGACUAGGGCACCUAGUGGAAACAGUCCGUUCCCGGGAGUCUGACAGCACGAAGGCAGUGAUUUCAGACUGGGAAACAAACACUGAGGGGAGCUCAGUGGAGGCUGGGGAGUGGGAGUGGGGUGGAAGAACGCCCUGGUGCUGUCCAGAAGGAAGUAAAAUGCAAGUGCAGAGGACAAAUUGGUAGGAGGGCAACACGGUGCACAUCUCCACAUGGUCUUGGGGAGGACCAGGCUGGCAGGAAGGAAGGUCCAGGGCUACUAUUGGCUGGUGACUCGCUGACCGAACAAAGCCCGAGGGCGUGGCCACCUCAGGGGCAUCUAUAUAGAGGGAGGGCAGGCCGGACCCUGGGCAGUCCGCUUGGAGGAGCUCACCUGAGAACCUCGACAGGUACCCCACAGGGCACAGCACAGGACAGCGGACCCUGCUGAGCAGGAAGACAACAGCGACCUCAGCUGCUAAGCUGAAGGGAAAGGUACACAAGAAAUCCAGCGGGACCAGGAGACCCCGUCCCCAAAAGGGAAAAGAUGGCGCGGGGACUCCACCGAAGAGGCGGAAAGCCCCGCCAGGUUUUGGCCCUCCUCAAUAGCAGGGCCAACAGCGUGAGCAAGGCCAGCAGGAUGCGCCAGGGCAGGAGCAGGUCCGUGGGCACCAGGCGGAGAAGCCCAGCCCCACGCGUGCUGACCUGCAAACCCCCAGCAGCCCGGAGAGGCCGCAAGAGAGGCCCCGCCAAGCAGGGCCUAAACAGGUCCACCCGAGGCCGUGGAGCCCAGGCCCCACGCAAGGGGAUGGCAGAGUCCCCUGCCAAGAGAGGUGUUCGGAAACCUCGCUGUUAUCUGAGAGGUGGCUAGAGGUCUGCCUGCCUCUGCCUACCUUGAGGCAGUCCCUCCAGAAACUUUCCAUCCACACUACCCAGUGAUGGGGGCA
This is a long non-coding RNA of Fukomys damarensis (Damara mole-rat), 1188 nucleotides long. RefSeq lists it as uncharacterized. NCBI's taxonomy places the organism in Eukaryota, Metazoa, Chordata, Mammalia, Rodentia, Bathyergidae. The transcript has 3 exons. The record is from RefSeq and is a predicted model, not a curated record.